CGGUCUAACCGGUAGGCCAAACCGGUCUGACUGGUUGGGCGCCUUCCAGCUCAACAAUAUCUGCUCACGGUUUUUAUUUUUCUUUCACUCACUCUCUUUCUUCCCCGUUGAGCCAGAGCCGAGCUGAGCUCGUCCUGUUGUCGCCCCUCCCUUCGAUCUCCUCCCUCCGGUCACCGUGCUUCGAUUCCUUGUGCGAGCACCUUCCCCGGCUCCUCCUCCACCUUCCCCAACCUCCAGCCCAGCCUCUCCCCGGCCAGAAUCGUCCCAGCCAUCACCCGUCACCAUGGGAGGCCGUUCGAAGCUUUGUCAUCGUCGAUCCGCCUCUCCGGUCGUCCUCCGCCCAAAUAAACCCCCAAAAUGGGUUCGCGAUUCUGGUGCAUGCGAUCUCGUGACUGUGGAACAGGCGUAGCCGUGAAGCCCAAGAGCUAGCGAAGCAGGAUUGAGAAGGAAUUCGUGAAGACCCGGCCCAACGGUCGGAAGGGCCCAAGGCCUU
Long non-coding RNA from Panicum virgatum (switchgrass), 493 nucleotides. RefSeq lists it as uncharacterized. NCBI's taxonomy places the organism in Eukaryota, Viridiplantae, Streptophyta, Magnoliopsida, Poales, Poaceae. The record is from RefSeq and is a predicted model, not a curated record. The transcript has 2 exons.